CUCAACAAAUCCUUGAACAAAUGAACAGGUACAUUUGCUGUGACUGAAUGGACUAACCAAACUGUCCUUCCCUUUGGAUUCUGCCAGAAUUGUAUAGACAUACCUAUAAGUAAGAGAGCUGGGAAAAUAGCUAUUUUGUUUUUAAAUAUUUUGUGUUUCUUUCAUUCGCGUACUUUAUUUCCUGCAAUUUUUGAAAACAAGCAACUUUAAUUUGUAACAAAAGGAUUAAAUAAAUAUCCUCCCCCGCCCUUUUUUUUUUGAAUCCUGCUAUUUUUUGACAAGGAGAGUGGGAAGGCCAUUGCCCCAAGGCCACUGUGUUGCCCACUUUUUUUCCAGCUGUUCACAGAAUGUAGUCACUGGCCUUGCCCUCACCCUGGCCCCAGGUGGGCAGAUACUUGGCAGGCAGCCCCUUUCUCUAGAGCAGUCUCAGAGGCUCUCUGCUUGGCAGAGGUUUAGAGUGGGGGAAGGGAAGAAGUCCUGGUUCAGUGUGACCAUCCCUACGGCUCAGCUGCAGCCCCUGCGGUGGUUAAGUGUCAUCCCCGCAGGGCAGAAAAAGCAGAACAGAAGACUUCUCUUCCCCUCCUCCUUCCUCCCCCUCAAACAUACUUCUGGGUUCUGUUCAUCGGCCAGAUCACCGUCUGAUCUUUAUCCGGAACCUUUGCCCACGGGGCCCUUUCUACAUGCUGAAGGCAAAAGAACCCCAGAAUGAGAGGAGAUUCUUAGCUUUCAACACCCUCAGAAGCUCAUCAUUUGGGUCCAGAACUCCACUGUUUCUAUGCAGAAUGAGAGGAGAUUCUUAGCUUUCAACACUGUCAGAAGCUCAUCAUUUGGGCCAGGCAUGGUGGCUCACGCCUGUAAUCCCAGCACUUUGGGAGACUGAGGAAGCAUCGCUGCACAAACCUCUGUUUCUACACUUCCAUUCAAUCGGCUCACUUUUCUGCUCUUGGUACCCUUCGUUUCUUGUGAACUCUCCAGCAGGAGUGACUUGCAAUUUGUAUACACUGACAUUUAAGUUCUUGGAAGUGCUGGAGAAGCGUAUCAAAGUAAAUUAUCCUGAUGUAUAAUUUUGUGCAUGUAAAACUCACAGUGGAAGUGCCUGUUCUAAUUUCAGUACGGAACACAGAUAAACAUUUGGAUUAAUAAUCCAGUUUUGAAAGCGUACUUUAUUUAAAGUACAAUGUGCUGAAAAAAUGAAAAAAAGAAAGGGUGCUUUCAAAUUUGUACCUAGUAAACUUUCACUAGAUCACAUCGUAUGUUUAUCACGAGUCAUGUAUGUGUUGUAUUUCUAUGUGUAAUCGUCAGGCACUUUUAAUUUCUAGUUUGCAUUUACCAUGCCAGCCUCCUCCUCAACCCCAAAUUUCCUUUGGUUAUAAAUUUAGUAAAUUUGAAAGAGCCAGCAGGGAUUAAACCCUGAAGGAAUUCAAAUGACUCUCUGACUUUAUUCCUCAUUUCAGUCAUUUCAAAAAAUUAUGCUUUCAUUUAGGAUAGGCUCUGGGAAUCAAAGUGUGUAUAUUUUGCCCAAGUGGAAGACACAGUUUAAAGUUAACAUCCUAGCUACUAGAAGGGAAAGCGAACAACAUCGCUGGAAAAGGAGCCUAUCGUUUUUACCUUACACUAAAACUACAUUGCGAAGAUCAAAAGAAAUCAGGAUGAGAGUGUGCCUCUUAAUGCCAGGCCCAAAGUAGAUGCUUAUUAAAUGAGUCAAUCCUUCACAAAUGGUUGAUAGGUCUUACUAUUUCUCCCCUAUUCAAAUCUAGAAUUUGUUCACUCCCAUAUACUAAUCGAUAGUGAAUGGAAAG
This is a long non-coding RNA of Macaca mulatta (Rhesus monkey), 1799 nucleotides long. RefSeq lists it as uncharacterized. The record is from RefSeq and is a predicted model, not a curated record. Lineage: Eukaryota; Metazoa; Chordata; Mammalia; Primates; Cercopithecidae.